AUAGAUGAUGUAGGGCUGUUUUCCGGAC
Molecule: small RNA, 28 nt
Filed under: Bombyx mori (domestic silkworm)
Lineage: Eukaryota; Metazoa; Arthropoda; Insecta; Lepidoptera; Bombycidae
Description: ovarian small RNA-12367
Source: RNAcentral